GAGGGUAUAGCUCAGUGGUAGAGUGCAUGCAUGCUUAGCAUGCGUGAGGUCCUGGGUUCCAUCCCCAGUACCUCCA
Molecule: transfer RNA, 76 nt
Filed under: Camelus bactrianus (Bactrian camel)
Lineage: Eukaryota; Metazoa; Chordata; Mammalia; Artiodactyla; Camelidae
Also listed under: 3 other names
Rfam family: tRNA
About the family: Transfer RNA (tRNA) molecules are approximately 80 nucleotides in length. Their secondary structure includes four short double-helical elements and three loops (D, anti-codon, and T loops). Further hydrogen bonds mediate the characteristic L-shaped molecular structure. tRNAs have two regions of fundamental functional importance: the anti-codon, which is responsible for specific mRNA codon recognition, and the 3' end, to which the tRNAs corresponding amino acid is attached (by aminoacyl-tRNA synthetases). tRNAs cope with the degeneracy of the genetic code in two manners: having more than one tRNA (with a specific anti-codon) for a particular amino acid; and 'wobble' base-pairing, i.e. permitting non-standard base-pairing at the 3rd anti-codon position.
Source: Rfam by way of RNAcentral